CUACCCUACGGGGGGCAGCAGUGGGGAAUAUUGGGCAAUGGGCGCAAGCCUGACCCAGCAACGCCGCGUGAAGGAAGAAGGCUUUCGGGUUGUAAACUUCUUUUAAGAGGGAAGAGUAGAAGACGGUACCUCUUGAAUAAGCCAUGGCUAACUACGUGCCACCAGCCGCGGUAAUACGUAGGUGGCAAGAGUUGUCCGGAUUUACUGGGUGUAAAGGGCGUGUAGCCGGG
This 230-nucleotide ribosomal RNA is filed under the name uncultured bacterium. RNAcentral's name for it is "partial 16S ribosomal RNA". It matches the Rfam family "Bacterial small subunit ribosomal RNA", at positions 334 to 579 of the family's 1533-position model. The record is from RNAcentral.